Molecule: non-coding RNA, 3025 nt
Organism: Manis javanica (Malayan pangolin)
Lineage: Eukaryota; Metazoa; Chordata; Mammalia; Pholidota; Manidae
Source: RefSeq, a predicted model, not a curated record
GCGCUCGGAGAGCCCUUCGGGGAGGCCGGGCUUCCUGGGACUGGGCGAAUGCUAGGUUUUGGGGCUAGAGGAUUUUCGGAAUGAAGGGAAGAACGGCGAAGACCCUUUCCCUGCUGAGGGGGACCUUGCCGCAUCCCUUGGGUGCUUGCAGGUGUGGCCUGGGAAGGACAGUGUGUUCCCGGGAAGCGGAGGCUAAGUGGCGAAUCUCUGAACAUUUCUCCAGCCCAUAUCGGCUGCAUCUCGCCGCGGUGAUUUCCCGCCCAUCCUGCUUGUGCAGCUGGCUGGGGCAGGCUUCCCUGGACUCCUGUGAAAACAAGUAACCUUUUUGUGGAAUGCCGCCAGCCUAUCUGGUGAACCCGUUAUUUCACUGGUGGAGAAAACGAAGUUGAGAAUUCAUGGUCAAGCAAGCCCGUUAGUAACCAGUUGGCUCUAGGACCUAGGAUCUUGUUGACCCUUCAAAAAAGUUGUAGGACUUUGGCAGAGAAAUUACGCAUUUUUAAAUAAGGCUUUUUAUCGUUAACUGAGUAUCAUGAUUCUUUCUAGGGAAGCAAUUUAUGCAGUAAAACAAUAACUGCCAGAAGGGUCAUUUAUUAAAAAAUUAAGUGCCAAGGAGUAAUGAUGAAAUACACAAGUUCUGAUCCCGGGGAACCUAUUGUUAUCCUAUAUCAAUCUUGAGAUUUUUGUUUAGUAAUUGGAAACAUAUAACAGUUUUAUAAAGUUCUUGUUGGAGUGUAUGUCUUAUGUUGGUGUUUUUAAUAUAAUUUAUAAUUUUUUAACUUGCAGACAGUAUGCGUAUGAGAAUGGAUUGCAGGGUCGAAGUUAGCACUGUCCGAGGAUCUAGGUUAACCUGGGUCAAUGGCUUAAUUGGUUUAACACGAAUUUUUUCCUACAUAAUUUUAACAAUCUAUACACAUGGAUAGAAAAUUUAGAAAAUACUGAAUAUUUGGAGAGGGAAGAAAAACCCAUCUUUAAUGCUAUCAUUUGGAAUAAUUACCACUACUGGUUUUUAAUGAAUUUAUUGCUUUAUAUAAUAUGUCUGUAUAUAUGCAUAUAUAUGCUUUACAAAACAGUAAACCUUCCAAAUCAUUUCCUGACAACAUGAUUUUUUAUGGUGCAUAGUAGUGCAUCAUACGAACGGCCAUAAUUUUUUAAAUUAUUCCCCUCUUUAUACCUCUUGUAAUAUUAGGGUAUUUUUGUUUGUUUUUUAACUGUUGCAAAGACUGCCCCUUUGUUUCAUACCUUAUUUCUUUGGCUCACUUCCUAGAAGUGGAAUUUGGGGUCCAAGCUUAUGAACAUUUUUAAGGCCCUUGCUAAGUUGCCCUCCACCUCCUGGAAGCUAACUCCCUCCCUUUACACAGGAGGUAGGAAAUAAAGCUCAGAGGUAAGGGGGAGGUACCAGGCUAUUCGUUUACACUGGUGGAAGCUACCCCUGGACCCCAAGCCUCUUCCAAAGUUAAUGCUGAACAAGCAUUUAUAAUUAUUCCUGUUAACUCUCAAGUAGUUUGACUCACUGUUUUUCUCUUUGACUGUUGAAAGUGAAACAGUGUGCACAUCUGCUACGCUAGCAUCUACGAACUUGCCUAAUCAGUUGGUGGUCAGGAAGGUAAAAAAGAGUAUGGACUGAGACUUUGGGAAACCUAUAAAAAACAGACUGGACUACAGCUUUGCCUUCAUUCUAUUGAAAAUCAUAGGUCAAUGAUGCUUAUUAGUGCUCUGAUGUUUAGAAAUGGAAUAUAGCAGUUACUGUUUUAAUAGCUUAUCAAAGUAAGUGGUCAGCUCACUUUUUAUAGAAAUAGCAAGUGCUUACUGUCUGAUUCUUUGCUAAAGUUAAUUAGCUUUACUGCUAGGACAACUUAUUUGUUGAUGGACAAUUUCUGGAAAAAUUUAAUAAAUUAAACCUUAACAGUUUUCUAUUCCAGUUGGGCUUUUUGAGGGGGGAGGUCUAUUUAUUUUAUAAAGUAUGUAUUAUGGAAUGUAAGAAAAUACCAAGUGGAUUAGUAUAAUAGGCCCUUUUAUACUCAUCACCCAAUUUCCAUAAUGUUCAAUAUUCUGCCAUUCUUGUUUCCACUCUGCCUUCUACAUCUUUUUAAGUGUAUUUUUAAUGUAAAUCUUAUAUAUACAUAUAUGUCAAUUUAAUGUACAGCCAGUGUUUUUGUGAUCAAACAGAGACCCAGUUCAUAGUCUGGACGCUUAUUUUCUGCUCCCCUUUCUAGUUUCUGGGUUUCUGUCAUGGCAUCACCAUCCUCUUUGUCUUGCAGGCCUGAAAACUCUAAUAAUCCACUCUUUCUUCACUCCUCACAUCAGAUUAUUCACUAAUUUUGUUUGUUUUUUUAUUUUGAAUACCCUUAAUGUCUCAUUUAUGCUGUUUUUUUCUGCUAUAGUCCCAUCCUUUUGGCCUUCUGACUUGCAGAUAGUAAAUACUGGUGACUAGUUAUGGAAUUGAACAGCUGUACAAGUCUUCUACUAGUUCCCUGCCACUCUACUCUCAUUCCCAACUAUUUAGGAUUCUCCAGCGAUCCCAAUGUAUAGCAAAGCUUCAGAACCACUGUUCUUUAGGGCUAAAGUGAGAACAUGAGGAUCGGGUAAGACAUCUGGAUUUUGGCCUUCAAUACUUCAUAUAACCUCACCAAGGCCUCACUUUGUGUUCUCCACAUACGAUUCUACUUGCCAAAUUGCACAAGAGAUUGCUGAGAAAAUUCAACAGCGGAAUCGGUAUGAAAGAAAUGGUGAAAAUACAACCAAGUGUCCAGAAGCUGUAAUCUGGAGCUGCUGAGCCCCUGAAGCAAUGUCGGCGGUCGCAGAGGAGCGGUACUGGUGCCUGGGGGUAGGAAAGACCUGUUCCCUGCCUCCUCGCUGCUGUGCUUGCCUCCACUGCCUGAGCCAGUGGGCCAGUCACACAGAGUGAGGAGUCUUGGCCCAUCUUCAAGGACAAGAUACGUUUUUGGGAGCAGAUAACUUCCAAGGACUGCACCGGUUGCUCUCAAGCUUGUGCUUUCCCAUGCUGCGUUCAGACGUGGGGGAAGGU